GACGAACGCUGGCGGCGUGCUUAACACAUGCAAGUCAUGGGGACCCAAGGCGCAAGCCGUGGGUAACCGGCGAACGGGUGCGUAACACGUGAGUGACCUGCCGAUUUGUGGGGGAUAGCCGGGCCAACGCCCGGGUAAUACCGCAUACGCUCUUCUUGGGGCAUCUCUAGAAGAGGAAACCUCCGGGGCAAAUCGAGGGACUCGCGGCCUAUCAGCUAGUUGGCGAGGUAACGGCUCACCAAGGCUACGACGGGUAGCUGGUCUGAGAGGAUGGCCAGCCACAUUGGGACUGAGAUACGGCCCAGACUCCUACGGGAGGCAGCAGUGGGGAAUAUUGCGCAAUGGCCUAACGGCUGACGCAGCGACGCCGCGUGUGGGAUGACGCCCUUCGGGGUGUAAACCACUGUUGCUCGAGACGAAUAGCGAGCUUUAGCUCGCCUGACGGUAUCGAGUGAGGAAGCACCGGCUAACUCCGUGCCAGCAGCCGCGGUAAUACGGAGGGUGCGAGCGUUGUCCGGAAUCACUGGGCGUAAAGGGCGCGUAGGUGGUCAGGUAAGGGUGUGGUGAAAGUCCGGGGCUCAACCCCGGAUCUGCCGUGCCGACUGCUUGACUGGAGCAUUGCAGAGGCAGAUGGAAUUCCGGGUGUAGCGGUGGAAUGCGUAGAGAUCCGGAAGGAAGACCGGUGGCGAAGGCGAUCUGCUUGGGGCAAUUGGGUUGCACACUGAGGGCGGCGACAGGCGUGGGGAGGCAAACCAGGGAUUCAGAUUAACCCUGGGU
This 777-nucleotide ribosomal RNA is filed under the name uncultured bacterium. Its description in RNAcentral is "bacterial SSU rRNA". It matches the Rfam family "Bacterial small subunit ribosomal RNA", at positions 28 to 791 of the family's 1533-position model. The record is from RNAcentral.